CCUACGGGAGGCUGCAGUGAGGAAUAUUGGUCAAUGGGCGGGAGCCUGAACCAGCCAAGCCGCGUGAGGGAAGAAGGUACAGCGUAUCGUAAAUCUCUUUUGUCAGGGGACAAAGGCGGGGACUAGUCCCCGGAUGAGGGUACCUGAAGAAAAAGCAUCGGCUAACUCCGUGCCAGCAGCCGCGGUAAUACGGAGGAUGCGAUCGUUUUCCGGAUUUGUUGGGUUAAAAGGGUGCGCAGGCGGCCUGUUAAGUCAGCGGUAAAAGGCCGGGGCUAAACCCCGGAGAGCCGUUGAAACUGGCGGGCUGGAGUUGGAGAGAAGUACGCGGAAUGCGCGGUGUAGCGGUGAAAUGCGUAGAUAUCGCGCAGAACCCCGAUGGCGAAGGCAGCGUACCGGCUCCACACUGACGCUGAGGCACGAAAGCGUGGGUAUCGAACAGGAUUAGAGACCCCGGUAGUC
Molecule: ribosomal RNA, 459 nt
Filed under: uncultured bacterium
Lineage: Bacteria
Description: partial 16S ribosomal RNA
Rfam family: Bacterial small subunit ribosomal RNA
Source: RNAcentral